RNAcentral lists this ribosomal RNA (253 nucleotides) under uncultured bacterium. RNAcentral describes it as "partial 16S ribosomal RNA". It matches the Rfam family "Bacterial small subunit ribosomal RNA", at positions 524 to 776 of the family's 1533-position model. The record is from RNAcentral.
UACGAAGGAUUCAAGCGUUGUCCGGAAUCACUGGGCGUAAAGGGCGCGUAGGCGGUCUGCUAAGCGUGUGGUGAAAGCUCGGGGCUCAACCCCGAGUCUGCCAUGCGAACUGGUGGACUAGAGCACUGUAGAGGCAGGUGGAAUUCCGGGUGUAGCGGUGGAAUGCGUAGAGAUCCGGAAGAACACCGGUGGCGAAGGCGGCCUGCUGGGCAGUUGCUGACGCUGAGGCGCGACAGCGUGGGGAGCAAACAGG